RNAcentral lists this ribosomal RNA (125 nucleotides) under Conidiobolus firmipilleus. Its description in RNAcentral is "partial small subunit ribosomal RNA". It matches the Rfam family "Eukaryotic small subunit ribosomal RNA", at positions 1657 to 1779 of the family's 1831-position model. The record is from RNAcentral. Lineage: Eukaryota; Fungi; Entomophthoromycota; Entomophthoromycetes; Entomophthorales; Conidiobolaceae.
CCUUUGUACACACCGCCCGUCGCUACUACCGAUUGAAUGGUUUAGUGAGGCCUCUGGAUUUGAAGCUUGAAGUUGGCAACGAUUUUAAGCUUUAGAGAAAUUGGUCAAACUUGGUCAUUUAGAGG